Molecule: ribosomal RNA, 478 nt
Filed under: uncultured bacterium
Lineage: Bacteria
Description: partial 16S ribosomal RNA
Rfam family: Bacterial small subunit ribosomal RNA
Source: RNAcentral
GACGAACGCUGGCGGCGUGCUUAACACAUGCAAGUCGAACGGGAUUUAGUAGACAGAAGCCUCGGCUAAAGAUUACUAAUGAGAGUGGCGAACGGGUGAGUAACGCGUGAGCAACCUGCCUAUGACAGUGGGAUAGCCUCGGGAAACCGGGAUUAAUACCGCAUAAAAUCGUAGAAACACAUGUUUCAACGGUCAAAGAUUUAUCGGUCAUAGAUGGGCUCGCGUCUGAUUAGCUAGUUGGUGAGAUAACAGCCCACCAAGGCGACGAUCAGUAGCCGGUCUGAGAGGGUGAACGGCCACAUUGGAACUGAGACACGGUCCAAACUCCUACGGGAGGCAGCAGUGGGGAAUAUUGCACAAUGGGGGAAACCCUGAUGCAGCGACGCCGCGUGAACGAAGAAGGUAUUCGUAUCGUAAAGUUCUGUCCUAUGGGAAGAUAAUGACAGUACCAUAGAAGAAAGCUCCGGCUAAAUACGUG